This 1439-nucleotide ribosomal RNA is filed under the name uncultured organism. RNAcentral's name for it is "SSU rRNA". It matches the Rfam family "Bacterial small subunit ribosomal RNA". The record is from RNAcentral.
UUCAGGAUGAACGCUAGCUACAGGCUUAACACAUGCAAGUCGAGGGGCAUCAGGAAGAAAGCUUGCUUUCUUUGCUGGCGACCGGCGCACGGGUGAGUAACACGUAUCCAACCUGCCCUUUACUCGGGGAUAGCCUUUCGAAAGAAAGAUUAAUACCCGAUAGCAUAAUGAUUCCGCAUGGUUUCAUUAUUAAAGGAUUCCGGUAAAGGAUGGGGAUGCGUUCCAUUAGGUUGUUGGUGAGGUAACGGCCCACCAAGCCUUCGAUGGAUAGGGGUUCUGAGAGGAAGGUCCCCCACAUUGGAACUGAGACACGGUCCAAACUCCUACGGGAGGCAGCAGUGAGGAAUAUUGGUCAAUGGGCGCUAGCCUGAACCAGCCAAGUAGCGUGAAGGAUGAAGGCUCUAUGGGUCGUAAACUUCUUUUAUAUAAGAAUAAAGUGCAGUAUGUAUACUGUUUUGUAUGUAUUAUAUGAAUAAGGAUCGGCUAACUCCGUGCCAGCAGCCGCGGUAAUACGGAGGAUCCGAGCGUUAUCCGGAUUUAUUGGGUUUAAAGGGAGCGUAGGUGGACUGGUAAGUCAGUUGUGAAAGUUUGCGGCUCAACCGUAAAAUUGCAGUUGAUACUGUCAGUCUUGAGUACAGUAGAGGUGGGCGGAAUUCGUGGUGUAGCGGUGAAAUGCUUAGAUAUCACGAAGAACUCCGAUUGCGAAGGCAGCUCACUGGACUGCAACUGACACUGAUGCUCGAAAGUGUGGGUAUCAAACAGGAUUAGAUACCCUGGUAGUCCACACAGUAAACGAUGAAUACUCGCUGUUUGCGAUAUACAGUAAGCGGCCAAGCGAAAGCAUUAAGUAUUCCACCUGGGGAGUACGCCGGCAACGGUGAAACUCAAAGGAAUUGACGGGGGCCCGCACAAGCGGAGGAACAUGUGGUUUAAUUCGAUGAUACGCGAGGAACCUUACCCGGGCUUAAAUUGCAGUGGAAUGAUGUGGAAACAUGUCAGUGAGCAAUCACCGCUGUGAAGGUGCUGCAUGGUUGUCGUCAGCUCGUGCCGUGAGGUGUCGGCUUAAGUGCCAUAACGAGCGCAACCCUUAUCUUUAGUUACUAACAGGUUAUGCUGAGGACUCUAGAGAGACUGCCGUCGUAAGAUGUGAGGAAGGUGGGGAUGACGUCAAAUCAGCACGGCCCUUACGUCCGGGGCUACACACGUGUUACAAUGGGGGGUACAGAAGGCAGCUAGCGGGUGACCGUAUGCUAAUCCCAAAAUCCUCUCUCAGUUCGGAUCGAAGUCUGCAACCCGACUUCGUGAAGCUGGAUUCGCUAGUAAUCGCGCAUCAGCCACGGCGCGGUGAAUACGUUCCCGGGCCUUGUACACACCGCCCGUCAAGCCAUGGGAGCCGGGGGUACCUGAAGUACGUAACCGCAAGGAUCGUCCUAGGGUAA